Long non-coding RNA from Nymphalis io (European peacock), 576 nucleotides. RefSeq lists it as uncharacterized. The transcript has 2 exons. NCBI's taxonomy places the organism in Eukaryota, Metazoa, Arthropoda, Insecta, Lepidoptera, Nymphalidae. The record is from RefSeq and is a predicted model, not a curated record.
ACAGCGCUCAUAAAUAAGCGACACAAUUUUAUUUAUUUUUUUACAUUAUAUUUAUGAUAUUAAAACUACGUAAAUUUAAUAUUGUGCGUAAAUACUCAAAUAAAUAGUAUACGAAAUAAGAAUUUUUUGAGAAAAAAAUAAUAAACAAAGACCAUUGCUGAAAAAUGUUUAUCUACAAUAGUAUGUAUCAACUAUAACUAGGUAUGGCUUCAUAACGCCUGAAAUGCAUCUAAGGAGCAAUCACUUCAGAACAUUAUUAAACCAUUGGAAAUGUACACGUACGCAACCAAAGUAUAUAAUAAUGUAUAAGUUACGUGUUCCACGUGUGGCGCGGGCAUAUAUUUACUCCAAAGUUGGCAGGUGAAUUUUGAUGUUUAGUCUUGUCUAGUGCAGAAGCAGGGUGGCGCAUGUCCCGACGGAUGAGGCUCCAUGAUGAUAAAUAGUCAGCCACGAGAGGGCAGCAAAGGACUAUCAACCCUAUUUUCCGCCAUCCGCGAAUACUCGUAAUUGAGAUGAAGUCAUCUCAGGAAUCAUCAGUAAUAUAAUUGUCAAUAAUAAAAUAAACGUUCCCACCAG